GAGUUUGAUCCUGGCUCAGGACGAACGCCGGCGGCGUGCUUAACACAUGCAAGUCGAACGAUGAAGCUGGAGCUUGCUCCGGCGGAUUAGUGGCGAACGGGUGAGUAACACGUGAGCAAUCUGCCCUUGACUCUGGGAUAACUGCGGGAAACUGUAGCUAAUACCGGAUACUUUCCUCGGUGGGCAUCCACUGGGGAAGAAAGAAUUUCGGUCAAGGAUGAGCUCGCGGCCUAUCAGCUAGUUGGUGAGGUAAUGGCUCACCAAGGCGACGACGGGUAGCCGGCCUGAGAGGGUGACCGGCCACACUGGGACUGAGACACGGCCCAGACUCCUACGGGAGGCAGCAGUGGGGAAUAUUGCACAAUGGACGAAAGUCUGAUGCAGCAACGCCGCGUGAGGGAUGAAGGCCUUCGGGUUGUAAACCUCUUUUAGCAGGGAAGAAGCGAAAGUGACGGUACCUGCAGAAAAAGCACCGGCUGACUACGUGCCAGCAGCCGCGGUAAUACGUAGGGUGCAAGCGUUGUCCGGAAUUAUUGGGCGUAAAGAGCUCGUAGGCGGUUUGUCACGUCUGCUGUGAAAUUUCGAGGCUCAACCUCGAAAUUGC
Molecule: ribosomal RNA, 604 nt
Filed under: uncultured bacterium
Lineage: Bacteria
Description: bacterial SSU rRNA
Rfam family: Bacterial small subunit ribosomal RNA
Source: RNAcentral